UUCAUGUUCCGUUGUGAUCGUGAGGAUUCGUUCAUCUACGCUUGGCUCGUCUACACCUGUUCAUCUCUUCAUGGACUCGUUAUUCUUCAUAGAAGGAUUUCAGGCAAGAUGACCAUUACCCUGGAUCUCACUACUAUCAUUGUUAUGCUAGUUGUCUCGAUGCUAUUGCUAUGCCACGCUUCCUACCACUUGUUAUCAAGCCUCCCAAAUUGCCAUGAAACAGCCUCUAGCCUUUUCACCCUUCCUAGCAAACCGUUGUUUGGCUAUGUUACUGCUUUGCUCAGCCCCUCUUAUAGCGUUGCUAGUUGCAGGUGCAGUUGGAGGUUGUUCCAUGUUGGGACAUGGAUAUCAUGGAUAUCUUGGGAUAUCACAAUAUCUCUUAUUUAAUUAAUGCACAUAUAUACUUGGUAAAGGGUGGAAGGCUCGGCCUUAUGCCUGGUGUUUUGUUCCACUCUUGCCGCCCCAGCUUCUGUCAUACCGGUGUUAUGUUCCUUGAUUUUGCGUCGCUAGACGAUGAUGAUUUAUGGGCCCCUCUUGACAGUUCGCUUUGAAUAAAACUCUUCCAGCAAGGCCCAACAUUGGUUUUACCAUUUGCCCAACAUAAUAACUAAACUUGAUAUUAAACUUGAUUCAUAGGGAGUUAGCGCUACCCGAGGAGUAAUUCUACAUAACAGGGGGGGGGUAGUGCUGAUAGUGUUGGUCCCAAACCGGGCAACCUGUGGGGCCACCACGAGGAAACUCGAGGAUAGGUUUUACUCGUAGCUUGACCCAUCUGGCCGUGGCCUGAGACGAGAUACGCGCGACUAUUAUCAUGGUGUCGGCACGCCAGGAGGUCUUGCUGGAUUAGUUUUACCAUUGUCAAAAUGUCUUGUGCACCGAGAUCCCGAGUCUGAUCGGAUGUCCUGCGAUGGAGGAUUGUCUCCGUGGAUCGUGAGCUUGUAAUGGGCUAAGUUGGGACACCCCUGCAGGGUUUAAACUUUCAAGAGCCCUACCCGCGAUUAUUGGCAGAUCGGAAUUUUUAAUGUUCGGUUGUAGAGAACUCGACACCAGAUUCGAAUUAAAAUACACCAACCGCAUGCGUAACUAUGAUGGUCUCUUUUCGGGUGAGUUCAAGAAGAGAACACGAUGGGGUUAUGUUUGAAUGUAAGUAGUUCAGGAUCACUUCUUGAUCAUUACUAGUUUGCGACCGUUUGUGUAGCUUCUCAUCUUACUCUUGUACUCGUAAGUUAGCCACCAUACAUUGCUGAAUCGCUUGCUACAACCUCACCACUUAUCCAUUCCAUACCCUUUAAGCUUUUCUAGUCUUGAUACCCAUGGUAAUGGGAUUGUUGAGUCCUCGUGACUCACAGAUUACUACAACAACAGUUGCAGGUACAGGUAAUGUGAUGACCUGAUGUGAGAGCGAUGUAUGCUUGUCUUGGAGUUCUUCUUCUGUUUCUUCUUCUUUUAGGGGUUAGGUUCCUGGUUGGCAACCUGAGCUAGCAGGGUGGAUGUCCCUUGAGUUUCUGUUUGUGUUUCAUCCGUAGUCGGAUGUUGCUUUUGUGUAUGAUAUUGUUGUAUUCAUGUAGCAUUGUAU
This 1576-nucleotide long non-coding RNA is filed under the name Triticum aestivum (bread wheat). RNAcentral describes it as "long non-coding RNA (TAES_LNC022576)". The record is from RNAcentral. Lineage: Eukaryota; Viridiplantae; Streptophyta; Magnoliopsida; Poales; Poaceae.